Non-coding RNA from Triticum aestivum (bread wheat), 125 nucleotides. The record is from Rfam. Lineage: Eukaryota; Viridiplantae; Streptophyta; Magnoliopsida; Poales; Poaceae.
AUACCACUCCCUCCGUUCGGAAUUACUUGUCACAACAAUCAAUAAAAAUGAAUGUAUCUACAACUAAAAUACAUCUAGAUACAUUCAUUUCUUGGACGAGUAACUCCGAACGAAGGAAGUACCUU